Poecilia latipinna (sailfin molly) is the source of this 542-nucleotide long non-coding RNA. RefSeq lists it as uncharacterized. Lineage: Eukaryota; Metazoa; Chordata; Actinopteri; Cyprinodontiformes; Poeciliidae. The transcript has 2 exons. The record is from RefSeq and is a predicted model, not a curated record.
UUGUCAGAAGGGUAACUAUAGAAUUGUGCAUGUUUUGGACUUUUUGUAGUUACAAAGUUGUUCAUGCGUGAAAAAUCAUAUGCAUACUCUGUCUAUGUCAACAGCUUGGCAGGAAACAGUGUUCACAUCAAACUGUUUUGGACGUGACACAAAGCUGAUGAGGUUAAGAGUAGUAGUGUAUAACUCUACCAGGUGUACGGUGGCUGACCUGGUGGAGAAGAAGCAACGAGCUCAACAAACUUACUAUUAAUCACUUGAUUCGUGGGAAAUGAAGGACUUCGUCACAAGGAUUGUGUACAAUUGAAAACCUUUGGAGUAGUCGGCUUCAGGCUCAACCCAGGUCUUAUUGCACACAUCUUGAUGGUAUUUCAUUGGCAAAACAUAAAAUGGACCAACAAAACAACUGAGACUAUUAGUCAUUUGACCCACAAAAGUUUGGACUGUUGAUGGAAUGCACAAAAACCUCUGAGAUAUCAGUCUCCUUAGCACACUUGAAGUUAAACAUGUAUUCCUUUAUCAGAUCUAGCUACACAAUGUCAAAU